RNAcentral lists this ribosomal RNA (465 nucleotides) under uncultured bacterium. RNAcentral's name for it is "partial 16S ribosomal RNA". It matches the Rfam family "Bacterial small subunit ribosomal RNA", at positions 28 to 507 of the family's 1533-position model. The record is from RNAcentral.
GAUGAACGCUGGCGGCGUGCUUAACACAUGCAAGUCGAACGGAAAGGCUCCUGCUUGCAGGGGUACUCGAGUGGCGAACGGGUGAGUAACACGUGGGUGAUCUGCCCUGCACUUCGUGAUAAGCCUGGGAAACUGGGUCUAAUACCGGAUAGGACGAUGGUUUGGAUGCCAUUGUGGAAAGUUUUUCGGUGUGGGAUGAGCUCGCGGCCUAUCAGCUUGUUGGUGGGGUAAUGGCCUACCAAGGCGUCGACGGGUAGCCGGCCUGAGAGGGUGUACGGCCACAUUGGGACUGAGAUACGGCCCAGACUCCUACGGGAGGCAGCAGUGGGGAAUAUUGCACAAUGGGCGCAAGCCUGAUGCAGCGACGCCGCGUGGGGGAUGACGGCCUUCGGGUUGUAAACUCCUUUCGCUAGGGACGAAGCGCAAGUGACGGUACCUGGAGAAGAAGCACCGGCUAACUACGUG